RNAcentral lists this unclassified non-coding RNA (409 nucleotides) under Melitaea cinxia (Glanville fritillary). RNAcentral's name for it is "misc RNA ENSMCXG00005011366.1". The record is from RNAcentral. Lineage: Eukaryota; Metazoa; Arthropoda; Insecta; Lepidoptera; Nymphalidae.
GUACACUUUUUGCCACAUUUGUCAUAAAAAAAUCUCAAAUGACAUCAACACCGUGGGAAAACGCAGAUCGCACUUCGGUGCUAACAGAUAGUAUAACGACGAUUAUGACACAUUCGACCACAAAAGUGUUCUAAGAAGCUUAGCACAUUGUGAAGAAUUAUCACACCCGUGUAAAAUAUCGUUCGACAAACAUUAGAACUUAUGACGAAUACCGGGAACGAGGCGGAAGAUUUGUCGCGUGAACUUGUAACGGUAUGGCUUUUAAAUCAGCGGAUUUCAAAAGCAAUAUGAUAUGAUCUUUUAUUUUAAUAUUCAAAUCGCUUAUACAAUUCAUUUAAUUGUUUAAUAUAAAUUCAAGUUGAAGUGGCAGUGGGCUAGUCAUCUGUGUCGCAGGACCGGUGGCCGUUGG